UGGGGAAUUGUUCGCAAUGGGCGCAAGCCUGACGACGCAACGCCGCGUGGAGGAUGAAGAUCUUCGGGUCGUAAACUCCUUUCGAUCGAGACGAAUUCCUUCCGGGUGAACGACUCGGGAGGUUGACGGUACCGAGAGAAGAAGCCCCGGCUAACUCCGUGCCAGCCGCCGCGGUAAUACGGGGGGGGCAAGCGUUGUUCGGAAUUACUGGGCGUAAAGGGCUCGUAGGCGGCCAACUAAGUCGGACGUGAAAUCCCUCGGCUUAACCGGGGAACUGCGUCCGAUACUGGAUGGCUUGAGUUCGGGAGAGGGAUGCGGAAUUCCAGGUGUAGCGGUGAAAUGCGUAGAUAUCUGGAGGAACACCGGUGGCGAAGGCGGCAUCCUGGACCGACACUGACGCUGAGGAGCGAAAGCCAGGGGAGCAAA
This 426-nucleotide ribosomal RNA is filed under the name uncultured bacterium. Its description in RNAcentral is "bacterial SSU rRNA". It matches the Rfam family "Bacterial small subunit ribosomal RNA", at positions 355 to 772 of the family's 1533-position model. The record is from RNAcentral.